RNAcentral lists this long non-coding RNA (314 nucleotides) under Betta splendens (Siamese fighting fish). RNAcentral's name for it is "lncRNA (ENSBSLG00000023933.1)". Lineage: Eukaryota; Metazoa; Chordata; Actinopteri; Anabantiformes; Osphronemidae. The record is from RNAcentral.
GAAUUAGCUCACAUACAGUAAACACUGACUCGUGCGUGAGUCUUUUGUCUGGUCAGUCAAUGUUUAACUAAAUUAUAGAGCAUGAAACAGGGAUCAGCGGCUGCAAAAUGGCUUGGAGAACCGGGCGGUGAGACGCUGAGACCCGACUUUGGGAAACAGAGGGAGCUGAACGCAAGAUCAGGCCCAGAUGGUUAGGUACGGCCGGCUCCUGUUGGUGUGAGGAAGGGAUUACAUAAGUAGAAUUAAAGCGGUGAAAACGGGGACAUGUUUCAUUAGUUUCCCUGAUGCCAGAUCUAUAUUUGGAGCGUGAACCC